UGGGGAAUCUUCCGCAAUGGACGAAAGUCUGACGGAGCAACGCCGCGUGAGUGAUGACGGCCUUCGGGUUGUAAAGCUCUGUUAAUCGGGACGAAUGGUUCUUGUGCAAAUAGUGCGAGGAUUUGACGGUACCGGAAUAGAAAGCCACGGCUAACUACGUGCCAGCAGCCGCGGUAAUACGUAGGUGGCAAGCGUUGUCCGGAAUUAUUGGGCGUAAAGCGCGCGCAGGCGGAUUGGUCAGUCUGUCUUAAAAGUUCGGGGCUUAACCCCGUGAUGGGAUGGAAACUGCCAAUCUAGAGUAUCGGAGAGGAAAGUGGAAUUCCUAGUGUAGCGGUGAAAUGCGUAGAGAUUAGGAAGAACACCAGUGGCGAAGGCGACUUUCUGGACGAAAACUGACGCUGAGGCGCGAAAGCCAGGGGAGCGAACGGG
RNAcentral lists this ribosomal RNA (429 nucleotides) under bacterium. Its description in RNAcentral is "partial 16S ribosomal RNA". It matches the Rfam family "Bacterial small subunit ribosomal RNA", at positions 355 to 776 of the family's 1533-position model. The record is from RNAcentral.